This 148-nucleotide non-coding RNA is filed under the name Gorilla gorilla gorilla (western lowland gorilla). The record is from Rfam by way of RNAcentral. Lineage: Eukaryota; Metazoa; Chordata; Mammalia; Primates; Hominidae.
GCUGGGCAUGGUGGUGCAUGCCUGUAAUCCCAGCUACUCGGGAGGCUGAGGCAGGAGAAUCACUUGAACCGGGAAGGCAGAGGUUGCAGUGAGCUGACAUUGUGCCACUGCACUUUAGCCUGGGCAACAAAGUGAGACUCUGUCUCAA